Molecule: transfer RNA, 73 nt
Filed under: Dunckerocampus dactyliophorus (ringed pipefish)
Lineage: Eukaryota; Metazoa; Chordata; Actinopteri; Syngnathiformes; Syngnathidae
Description: tRNA-Trp
Rfam family: tRNA
About the family: Transfer RNA (tRNA) molecules are approximately 80 nucleotides in length.
Source: RNAcentral
GGAGGUUUAGGAUAACGCAAUAAACCAAGGGCCUUCAAAGCCCUAAAUAAAAGAGAAAAACUUUUAACUCCUG